This is a long non-coding RNA of Bos taurus (domestic cattle), 386 nucleotides long. NCBI's taxonomy places the organism in Eukaryota, Metazoa, Chordata, Mammalia, Artiodactyla, Bovidae. The record is from Ensembl.
GUCAAAUCUGCAGCUGAAAAACCCAGCUUUCUGUAUUUCCGGCCUCGCCCUUGAUUAGGAUACCUCCCUGCUGUUCCCACCCCCACUCCUAUAUCUCUCCCUGGGGCUAGUGGACCUAGAGGGUGGACUUCUCCACUGUCUGGUCAGGCAGGGGGCCCAGCUGAACUUGUCCUGACACUGCCCUCUUAGAAGCCGGGAGAUUUCAGGAAAAACAAGUUGCUCAGAGCUUCUGCAGAAAAGUCUCACUUUCUGUUUCAGACGGGAAGAGCUGCCUUUCUCACAGUUUGGUGUAGACAGUCAGAGGAUUUGAGGGCUUCCCUGGUGGCUCAGUGGUAAAGAAGCUGCCUGUCAACGCAGGUGACUCGAGUUCAGUUCCUGGAUUGGGA